RNAcentral lists this unclassified non-coding RNA (3491 nucleotides) under Leishmania donovani. RNAcentral describes it as "gene:LdHU3.36.4870(CDS-product:CRAL/TRIO_domain_c ontaining_protein_putative)". Lineage: Eukaryota; Euglenozoa; Kinetoplastea; Trypanosomatida; Trypanosomatidae. The record is from RNAcentral.
CGUCAUCUCAUGCAUCGCUCACGGCCGCCGACUCACACGAUCCUAUCUCCUGCCUCACUGCAAGCCCAUCCAUCAGAGCUCCUCGCCUGUCGCACUCUAUUCUUGACGCUAUCGCUACCCUGUGUACGUCUACGUGCAUGCAGCACUACAGUCGAGAAGCAAGAGCGAGUUGCUUGGUGCAAGUUUGGGUGGUUAGCGGUGCACGGCACCGCUGAAACAGACUUCUCACACCGUACAUGUAAGCCUCACCACCACCACCACCAUCCUCCCGCCUCUCCACGUGCCCAUACGCGCGCACAUUGUGGCAAAUAUUUCGCUUGACGCGCACGUGUGGCAACAGAGACGGAAGACAGAAUACUCCAAACGGCCAAGUGGACCUGCCGCCAUGCCAGGCAAGGCGUCGGGGGGCGUGGUGGCCAUCACGCCGACCGACUGGGAAGCGCAAUAUGAAAGAGACUUUAACGCGCAGAAGAGCAGCGGCUCCAUCAUCUUCUCGGAGGAGGAGCGUCGAAAGAAUCGCGAACUUUGCUCGCGGCUGCGCGACAUUCUCCCGUUCGACGACGCGUAUAAGGUGAGCGACUGCGACCUGAUGUACCGCUUCCUCAUUGGUAAGCACUGGAACGUUGCCUCGACUGAGAAAGGGAUGCGCGAGUACGCGCGGCUGCGCAAGUCCGAUGAUCUCAACAACAUCAUUGGGGAGCAACUGCACCCCACCAUUUGCUCGGUGCUCUCCCCCAUGUACAAGGACGAGCCGUGCCCCAUCUACGGCCUUGACAAGGAAGGUCUCCCCGUGCUGUGGCUUUCGCCGGACGCCAACAAGCUCAUGGCGGCUAUGAAAGACUUCACUAGCGAGCAGCUGCUGCGUUUUCAGCUGCGGUCAAUGGAGGUGAGCCGCUACGUCUGCCUGCAGCGGAGGGUGGAUCGCUGCACGUACGUGAUUGAUCUGGGCGGCAUCACCAUAUCCAGCGUGAACAAGGCAACGCUGGCGCUUCUCAAAGGUGUCAUGAACCUGCUGCAGGUUGCCUACCCUGAGAUCAUGCGCCGUCUGCUGAUCUUCAACACGGGGUGGGCGGUGUCCGCCGCCUGGAAGGUGCUGCGUCCGCUAGUGGACAUGCGCGUUCAGGACAAGAUCAAGUUUGAGAGCGGUCCGCCAACGCUGGCGGUGCUGGAGCAGUACAUAGCAGCGGAUCAGGUGCACCCCUCGUUCGGCGGCACAGGGUCUGCAAACGUGCUGGGCCCGAUCAUCGACGCUGAGGUGCGCCGCAUCCGGCGCGGCGUCGAGGGCCGAGUUUCUCCAGAUCCCGCCGCCGCCGCUGCAUCGGUCGUGCACAGGCCUUCCUUGGAGUCGCGGCAGAGCACGACCCUUCUUAGCCGAGAUGCGCUUACGCUCUACAGUGUCGAGUCGACGACCCCGCUCAGCACUGCAUGCCCGUCACCCAACUGCAACCCAUCCCUCGCAUGCGGCGGCCACGCCGAGGAGCGCGAACGCGUGGUUAUCGGUAUGCCCAGUGCCGUGACAGCUUGGUUGGUGAAGACGAGCACAGCCAGCGGGCCACUGAACGUGCUCGACAUGUCGCUCAGUGAUGCCUCCAGCUCCGGAGAGUACGCCUGCUGCAGGGAGCAGGCGUCCCCGACUCCCGCCGCCGACGACGCAACGAAGCGCUCCUACCGCGGUGUUGCUUCGCCGCCGUCGCGCGACCCGUCGGCAGACGGCACCGCGGCCCCUUCACGCGAGCCGGUGCCGAUCCAUGCCACGACUAGCAUAGAGCCCACGACACAGCAGCAGACCGAGCUACCAAUCGUGGCCAUCUCGCUAACGUACGGAGCCGACGGCAGCAUCAGUGGCUAUUGUGGGCGGCAGUGUGUCGGAUGCUUCCAACAGGGCCUUCUGUACGCUCCCGCCACGGAUGACGACGACUCUGCGUUUCCGCGGCGCUUUCCCUCCUUGCUGCCCUUGUCGCAGUCCUCCGUCGUCGGUGGCUGUGCGGGACGCAGCGUGGGGGUGCCGGCGGGUGAGCUUUUGGCCGAGGCGGGCCACCCGCUGCACAACUUCCUCAUCGUGUGUGACGCCCAGCGCCGCGCCCGCUACCUAGUGCGCGAGAGCCGCCUCCGUAAACGGCUGACCGUCUACAACGUCGUCGGAGAAGCUGAGGUACAUACGGGAAAAAAUAACCGACACUACGUCGAGGGCGAGCGUGCGAAGCUGGGCGUCGUGGUCCCGCACUCCAACGCCACCAGCUGCGGCGGGAAAGAGGAUUGGAUGCUGUACGGCGAAGAUGUGACGAAGCGCUCGUCGCGUAACCCAACGCUGCCCCUGCAGCAGCUCUUCUCGAAGACGAAACGGGCGGUGCUGACGGCGAAGAAGAGCAGAAGCAGUGAUUCACUGGACAAGUCGCAAAACGGCCGCUGGGCGGCGUCCAUAUUCGCCGCCUUGCACUUCCGCGUCUACUCGCCUGCGAAAAGAAAGCCGAAGUCCAUCAGCUUCAUGGCAUCGGGCAGCGCCAGCGUCCCGCCCCCAAGCCUUCCUGACCAGUCUGGAAAAAGCUGUGACGCAGUGACAGACGACAGCACACAGCUGCUCGCCGAGUGCAAGGGCCAAACAGUCCGCUUCUACAAGCUGUCGACGAAGAACUCGUUGCCCGACUUGUUCGCCCUGGCCGUCGCCAUCACGCAGUCAUGGAGUAAUGAGAUGGACAGCUGCAAGGGCAAGGCGGCGGCAUCGAAAGAGACGCACUAUUCUUCCGACGAUGACGUAAUGCCCUAGGGGAAUUGAUGAAUAUCGUCAGCGUCUUUCCCUCUCUUCGUUCCGCCAUGGCGGUAGCUGUGCGGGUGAACCAGAGAGGGGGUUGGGGCGGUGGUGUAGGAAGCAGGAUGAGCCUCGGCUGGCAUCGAUCAUCCCUUCAUCACCUACGAGAAAGUAGUUUGCAGCCCAUAUAUUCCUUGUUCUUCCAUUUUUUCGUCGCAUCUCUUUGAUUUCUUUUGCGAGUUGAGGGGAGUGGAGAUGCUGUCGUGCUUCCUCGACCUGCCGGCCACACUGCAGUGGGCACCUUUCUCUCUCUCGCACGCACGCACACAUACACACACACACACAGCGUCGUCUCGGAUGUAACUCAGCGCUGGAGGGGUGGGGAUGACGCGACCCGCAUUCGAACGCAAAAAAAAAACGAAAUCAAAGGCCCCGCCACUCCCCCUCCCUCUCCUUCUCCCUCUCCGACACACGCAUGCGCACAUUUUCCAAACGGCUUUUCUACACAAAACAUACGCGGGCAGUGGCAGCUCCAUCCACGCGUGCAACAGCUCAGGCUCGCUCCUUGAUGCACUUUUCCUUGUAUGUUCCCCGUCUUUUUCUUUCCGUUCCUCGUUCCUUCUUUCUAUUUGCUUGCAUGUAGAUGUGUGUGCGACCGCACACGAGGCGGCGCCCCCCUCUUCCACCCUCCUCCUCCUCUAGCUUCCCCUCCCUCAACCGACGUGGACGAGCAGACACACGCACG